AUUUUAACCCUGAAUCUAAGAGAAAGGAGCGCUGAAAUCACUAGAAUCUGUGAAUGCUGAUCUCAGUGUGAUUCCUUAAUUGUGCACAUGUAUCUCUCUUCCCAGCCUCCAGCCCUUCAGAGGAAGGGAGAAGGAAGGGAUAUGCUCUCAGGAGACAGGUUAUGAAUCAAGAUCACUUCAUACUGAAUGCUGACAAGCAACUGAAGGAAGCUCUGAAGCAGAGGAUUCGUGUGAUAAAGAGGUCCUCUGAGGUCUUCAAUGAGGAGCUGAAAAGCAAUGGAAAGAUGUCUUGAACUUCAUACAUUCCGUGUUCUGCUGCCUGUGAGGAGAAAGAGAAGUGCUUUUUCCUGGUUGAGUGCUGAGAUGGAUAAUACAUGGAAUAAACUUCAAGGCUUCAAGUACUUUGAGAUUGUUAUUAAGUCUGGUGGUUUCUUACACCCAGCGCAUUGUGAAAUGCACAUGGUGGCAGCUGUUAAGCCUAAUGAAACCCACAGCAGGGAAGAAAACAAAGCAUCACCUACAAAAAGAAGAAGCAAGGACCACAGACAGAUCCCAAAACUCCACUGGCAGUGACUGAAUGGAGCAAUGACUCUUAUCACAAGAGGAAACGAAGCUGCCUUUCCUUGCUGCUCAUUUUCCUCAUAGCUGUAUCUGCUUCUAAGGAGCAACUGACAAUGGAUGAACUUUGUGCUGACUUUUUUAAAAAAGGGAAGCUAUAUGUAGAGCUGCAAGGCUAGGGAGAAGUGUUGUGGAUGUUAUUUUAGUUUCCCUUAGGUAAACCUUUAACAGCGAGCUCUGCAUCAUAUCAAUAGGCCCUUCUUGCAUGGUGUAACCAUCAUCUGGCUGACAAAACAGCAGUCAGCACAAAUAAUUGUGUAAUAAUGUUCUGAGACUCCAGAUUCUUGCGUUGGUUUUACACAGCACUGAUUGGGAAGUGAGCCAUAGAGUCUUAGAUAAGAAGUUCAGAGUUAAUGCAGGGAUUACAACAAUAUACAAUGAAGGUGAUUCACAGAUGGAGAGAAAUGGGGUUUCAUUUAAUGGGCCUUCCAGACCAGGAAGGUCCUCCUCUCUCCAUAUUGCAUGGGGCUCA
This 1090-nucleotide long non-coding RNA is filed under the name Phasianus colchicus (ring-necked pheasant). Its description in RNAcentral is "lncRNA (ENSPCLG00000005317.1)". The record is from RNAcentral. Lineage: Eukaryota; Metazoa; Chordata; Aves; Galliformes; Phasianidae.